GAUGAACGCUGGCGGCGUGCCUAAUACAUGCAAGUCGAGCGAACGGACGAGAAGCUUGGUUCUCUGAUGUUAGCGGGGGACGGGUGAGUAACACGUGGAUAACCUACCUAUAAGACUGGGAUAACUUCGGGAAACCGGAGCUAAUACCGGAUAAUAUUUUGAACCGCAUGGUUCAAAAGUGAAAGACGGUCUUGCUGUCACUUAUAGAUGGAUCCGCGCUGCAUUAGCUAGUUGGUAAGGUAACGGCUUACCAAGGCAACGAUGCAUAGCCGACCUGAGAGGGUGAUCGGCCACACUGGAACUGAGACACGGUCCAGACUCCUACGGGAGGCAGCAGUAGGGAAUCUUCCGCAAUGGGCGAAAGCCUGACGGAGCAACGCCGCGUGAGUGAUGAAGGUCUUCGGAUCGUAAAACUCUGUUAUUAGGGAAGAACAUAUGUGUAAGUAACUGUGCACAUCUUGACGGUACCUAAUCAGAAAGCCACGGCUAACUACGUG
This 497-nucleotide ribosomal RNA is filed under the name uncultured bacterium. Its description in RNAcentral is "partial 16S ribosomal RNA". It matches the Rfam family "Bacterial small subunit ribosomal RNA", at positions 28 to 507 of the family's 1533-position model. The record is from RNAcentral.